GUUGGGUAGGGGAGCGUUCUGUAAGCCUGUGAAGGUGGCCUGUGAGGGUUGCUGGAGGUAUCAGAAGUGCGAAUGCUGACAUAAGUAACGAUAAAGCGGGUGAAAAGCCCGCUCGCCGGAAGACCAAGGGUUCCUGUCCAACGUUAAUCGGGGCAGGGUGAGUCGACCCCUAAGGCGAGGCCGAAAGGCGUAGUCGAUGGGAAACGGGUUAAUAUUCCCGUACUUGGUGUUACUGCGAAGGGGGGACGGAGAAGGCUAUGUUGGCCGGGCGACGGUUGUCCCGGUUUAAGCGUGUAGGUGUGUGUUCCAGGUAAAUCCGGUUCACUUUAACACUGAGGCGUGACGACGAGGCACUACGGUGCUGAAGCAACAAAUGCCCUGCUUCCAGGAAAAGCCUCUAAGCAUCAGGUAACAUCAAAUCGUACCCCAAACCGACACAGGUGGUCAGGUAGAGAAUACCAAGGCGCUUGAGAGAACUCGGGUGAAGGAACUAGGCAAAAUGGUGCCGUAACUUCGGGAGAAGGCACGCUGAUAUGUAGGUGAAGCGGUUUACCCGUGGAGCUGAAAUCAGUCGAAGAUACCAGCUGGCUGCAACUGUUUAUUAAAAACACAGCACUGUGCAAACACGAAAGUGGACGUAUACGGUGUGACGCCUGCCCGGUGCCGGAAGGUUAAUUGAUGGGGUCAGCGCAAGCGAAGCUCCUGAUCGAAGCCCCGGUAAACGGCGGCCGUAACUAUAACGGUCCUAAGGUAGCGAAAUUCCUUGUCGGGUAAGUUCCGACCUGCACGAAUGGCGUAAUGAUGGCCAGGCUGUCUCCACCCGAGACUCAGUGAAAUUGAACUCGCUGUGAAGAUGCAGUGUACCCGCGGCAAGACGGAAAGACCCCGUGAACCUUUACUAUAGCUUGACACUGAACAUUGAGCCUUGAUGUGUAGGAUAGGUGGGAGGCUUUGAAGCGUGGACGCCAGUCUGCGUGGAGCCGACCUUGAAAUACCACCCUUUAAUGUUUGAUGUUCUAACGUGGACCCGUAAUCCGGGUUGCGGACAGUGUCUGGUGGGUAGUUUGACUGGGGCGGUCUCCUCCUAAAGAGUAACGGAGGAGCACGAAGGUUGGCUAAUCCUGGUCGGACAUCAGGAGGUUAGUGCAAUGGCAUAAGCCAGCUUGACUGCGAGCGUGACGGCGCGAGCAGGUGCGAAAGCAGGUCAUAGUGAUCCGGUGGUUCUGAAUGGAAGGGCCAUCGCUCAACGGAUAAAAGGUACUCCGGGGAUAACAGGCUGAUACCGCCCAAGAGUUCAUAUCGACGGCGGUGUUUGGCACCUCGAUGUCGGCUCAUCACAUCCUGGGGCUGAAGUAGGUCCCAAGGGUAUGGCUGUUCGCCAUUUAAAGUGGUACGCGAGCUGGGUUUAGAACGUCGUGAGACAGUUCGGUCCCUAUCUGCCGUGGGCGCUGGAGAACUGAGGGGGGCUGCUCCUAGUACGAGAGGACCGGAGUGGACGCAUCACUGGUGUUCGGGUUGUCAUGCCAAUGGCACUGCCCGGUAGCUAAAUGCGGAAGAGAUAAGUGCUGAAAGCAUCUAAGCACGAAACUUGCCCCGAGAUGAGUUCUCCCUGAGACUUUAGGUCUCCUGAAGGAACGUUGAAGACGACGACGUUGAUAGGCCGGGUGUGUAAGCGCAGCGAUGCGUUGAGCUAACCGGUACUAAUGAACCGUGAGGCUUAACCUUACAACGCCGAAG
Molecule: ribosomal RNA, 1737 nt
Filed under: Salmonella enterica
Lineage: Bacteria; Pseudomonadati; Pseudomonadota; Gammaproteobacteria; Enterobacterales; Enterobacteriaceae
Description: bacterial LSU rRNA
Rfam family: Bacterial large subunit ribosomal RNA
Source: RNAcentral